Molecule: ribosomal RNA, 126 nt
Filed under: Yarrowia lipolytica
Lineage: Eukaryota; Fungi; Ascomycota; Dipodascomycetes; Dipodascales
Source: RNAcentral
AGUUGCGGCCAUAUCCUGGUGAAAAUACGGCUUUCCCCGUCCGAUCAAGCCAUAGUCAAAAACACCCAGAGAGGCCUAGUUAGUAUUGUAGUGGGAGACCAUACGAGAAUCCUAGGUGCUGCAAUU